AUGAAGCUUAAUAUAGUAUCCGGGCCUAAGGUCUUGAGUUCAAGUUCCGACUUUCUCAAUUUAUCCAAAAAUAACUUGGGUUGUGUUAUAAAUGCUCUGGCUAAACCUAUUGAUGGGAGAGGCGAAAUUGUAGCUUAUGAAUCUUGCUUAAUUGAAUCUCCUGCUCCAAGUAGAAUUUCCAGGCGUUCCAUAUACGAACCUCUUCAAACAGGGCUUAUUGCUAUCGAUUCGAUGAUCCCUAUAGGGCGCGGUCAGCGAGAGUUCAUUAUUGGGGACAGACAGACUGGCAAAACACUAGUAGCCACAGAUACAAUUAUCAAUAAAAAAGGGAAAGAUGUAAGAAGAACGAGAGCGAGCCUUCACGAAAGAAAAUGCAAGUGA
Molecule: ribosomal RNA, 381 nt
Filed under: Triticum aestivum (bread wheat)
Lineage: Eukaryota; Viridiplantae; Streptophyta; Magnoliopsida; Poales; Poaceae
Description: partial small subunit ribosomal RNA
Source: RNAcentral